This is a long non-coding RNA of Odocoileus virginianus texanus, 471 nucleotides long. RefSeq lists it as uncharacterized. Lineage: Eukaryota; Metazoa; Chordata; Mammalia; Artiodactyla; Cervidae. The record is from RefSeq and is a predicted model, not a curated record.
AGGUGCCAGUGAGGGGCAGGAUUCUCCCAUGUCCCUUCCCACCUUGAGAACAUGUUUUUUUUAGGGAACCACUCAAGCUCCCACCCUGGCCCUGGGAUCUUCUUUGUGACAGGCAUCCUUGGCUGUGCCUUGGGACCCUGCAUGUUCCUUUUUUUCGUUUUCCUGGCGAUUCAAAAGUGCAGACAGAAAAUAAAGUGCGAAGGCUGGUUUUCACGUUCCUCAAAGAAAGAAGAUCUGGGAGAGGAGAAACUCCUGACCAAAGAGUGUGAGUUUGGAAAUGAGGAUGCUGCACUUGGAAGCUGUGGAAUUCCAUUUGAAGAACAAAUAUGUGUCUAUUGAAGCUCCUGUUACAUUUUGGUCCAAACUAGAAGUACAGAAAAUAUCACUUCAUAUGUCAAAAAAAGGGUAACACUGACUUGUGUCCCAUUUUUACAUACAUUGUCCAACAAUAAAUACUUUGGUCCUUCCGUA